GGGGCCAUAGCUCAGCUGGGAGAGCGCAACACUGGCAGUGUUGAGGUCGGCGGUUCGAUCCCGCCUGGCUCCACCA
RNAcentral lists this transfer RNA (76 nucleotides) under Marichromatium gracile. Its description in RNAcentral is "tRNA-Ala". It matches the Rfam family "tRNA". From Rfam's summary of the family: Transfer RNA (tRNA) molecules are approximately 80 nucleotides in length. Their secondary structure includes four short double-helical elements and three loops (D, anti-codon, and T loops). Lineage: Bacteria; Pseudomonadati; Pseudomonadota; Gammaproteobacteria; Chromatiales; Chromatiaceae. RNAcentral also lists the same sequence under 275 other names. The record is from RNAcentral.